AUUGAACGCUGGCGGCAGGCCUAACACAUGCAAGUCGAGCGGAUGAAGGGAGCUUGCUCCUGGAUGCAGCGGCGGACGGGGGAGUAAUGCCUAGGAAUCUGCCUGGAAGUGGGGGAUAACGUCCGGAAACGGGCGCUAAUACCGCAUACGACGUGAGGGAGAAAGUGGGGGAGCUUCGGACCUCACGCUAUCAGAUGAGCCUAGGUCGGAUUAGCUAGUUGGUGGGGUAAAGGCCUACCAAGGCGACGAUGCGUAACUGGUCUGAGAGGAUGAUCAGUCACCCUGGAAGUGAGACACGGUCCAGACUCCUGCGGGGGGCAGCAGUGGGGAAUAUUGGACGAGGGGCGAAAGCCUAAUCCAGCCAUGCCGCGUGUGUGAUGAAGGUCUUCGGAUUGUAAAGCACUUUAAGUUGUGAGGAAGGGCAGUAAUUUAAUACGUGGCUGUUUUGACGGUACCAACAGAAUAAGCACCGGCUAACUUCGUG
This 484-nucleotide ribosomal RNA is filed under the name uncultured bacterium. RNAcentral's name for it is "partial 16S ribosomal RNA". It matches the Rfam family "Bacterial small subunit ribosomal RNA", at positions 30 to 507 of the family's 1533-position model. The record is from RNAcentral.